RNAcentral lists this ribosomal RNA (464 nucleotides) under uncultured bacterium. RNAcentral describes it as "partial 16S ribosomal RNA". It matches the Rfam family "Bacterial small subunit ribosomal RNA", at positions 29 to 507 of the family's 1533-position model. The record is from RNAcentral.
AUGAACGCUGGCGGCGUGCUUAACACAUGCAAGUCGAACGAUGAAGCCCAGCUUGCUGGGUGGAUUAGUGGCGAACGGGUGAGUAACACGUGAGUAACCUGCCCUUGACUCUAGGAUAAGCCCGGGAAACUGGGUCUAAUACUGGAUAGGAACGUCUACCGCAUGGUGGGUGUUGGAAAGAAUUUCGGUCAUGGAUGGACUCGCGGCCUAUCAGCUUGUUGGUGAGGUAAUGGCUCACCAAGGCGACGACGGGUAGCCGGCCUGAGAGGGUGACCGGCCACACUGGGACUGAGACACGGCCCAGACUCCUACGGGAGGCAGCAGUGGGGAAUAUUGCACAAUGGGCGAAAGCCUGAUGCAGCGACGCCGCGUGAGGGAUGACGGCCUUCGGGUUGUAAACCUCUUUCAGUAGGGAAGAAGCGAAAGUGACGGUACCUGCAGAAGAAGCACCGGCUAACUACGUG